RNAcentral lists this ribosomal RNA (2682 nucleotides) under Triticum aestivum (bread wheat). Its description in RNAcentral is "partial small subunit ribosomal RNA". Lineage: Eukaryota; Viridiplantae; Streptophyta; Magnoliopsida; Poales; Poaceae. The record is from RNAcentral.
AUGGAAAAGAAAAUGUUAGCUGCUCAGCGAAAGGAAAGAGUCCAAGACAGAAUGUAUCAAGGAAAACAAAGAGGAGGAUGUCAUAUGGUGAAGGAACUAACUUCUGGGUUUACAGCUGCAGUGGAGGAAGAGCAAGGAGAGGAGCAUGGUCAGAGCAGUGAAGAAGAGGGUGAUGUUCAGGAUGAGUUAACAGAUGAGGAUUUUUAUGAGAGAGACUUUGAUGUCCAAGAUGGUGACGAUGACAUGUUUGAUGCACAUGUUGACAAAAAUGUAGAUGACCACAUAGAGAAGACUGAAUUUUCUGACUAUGAAGCAGAACUCCUAGAAGAUGCACUGGAGGACAGUCAUUUGAAUAUGUCAAGAGAAGAGAAAGAGAAGUUGAAGCAUAAAUUCAGUGUUUUCAACCCUACCACAGACCUGAACGCACUAGUGUUUAAGCUAGGUAUGGUAUUUGCAGACAUGAUAGAGCUGAGACAUGCUCUCAAUGCAUAUAGUGUCAGAAAUAGAGUGAAGGUGAGGAAGCUCAGGAAUACUAACAGGUCAUUAGAGGCAGUAUGCAAGGAUGAUUGUACUUGGUACUUGAAGGCAGGCAAGGACAAUAGAUCCAGCAGCAUUCAGAUCAAGAAGUAUACUGACAAACAUACUUGCACCAAAGCUUGGGAUCUGAAAGUGCUUACUGCUCCCUUUCUUACUAAACAGUUCAGAGAAGAGUUCAGAGGCAAUGAGAAAAUGCCCUUACUGAAAUUUUCAGAGAAGGUGGAACAAGAAUUUAACUUAGUUGCUCACAGGAGUAAGUUGGGAAGGGCAAGAAGAGCAGCCGUUAAAGAAAUCAGGGGAGAAGAUGAUGAUCAAUACAACACUUUAUGGGACUAUGGGCAGGAGUUGAGAAGGAGCAAUCCAGGAAGCCUAUUUUUCUUGUGCACAAAGGAAGUGUUUGAUGACAAGGCCAAGGUCACAAAGGACCACUUCUCAACAUUGUACUGGUCUUAUGAUGCAUGUAAGAGGGGUUUUUUGAAGGGUUGCAGACCAAUAAUUUUCCUUGAUGGUUGUCACAUCAAAACAAGAUAUAAGGGGAAUAUAUUGACAGCAGUUGGGAUUGAUCCAAAUGAUUGUAUCUUUCCUAUAGCAUUUGGCAUAUGUGAAGUGGAGUCAACACACAGUUGGGAGUGGUUUCUAGCCUCUUUGAAGGAUGACCUGAAUAUAAUCAAUACAUCAACAUUCACCAUUAUGAGUGACAGACAGAAGGGUUUGACGAAUGCUAUGAAGAAAGUUUUCCCUGAUUCAGAACAUAGGAACUGUGUUAGGCACAUUUACCAAAAUUUCCACAAAGUACACAAGGGUGAACAACUGAAGAAUGACCUCUGGGCCAUAGCAAGAUCCACUAAUGAAGCUGCCUACACCAGAAACAUGGAUAAGAUGAGAGAUCACAGCUUUGCAGCAUUCAAUUGGGUUGAGAACUUGUCCCCAAGAACUUGGAUCAAAGCUUUCUUUGACCCUUUCUGCAAGUGUGAUAUAUUGCUGAAUAACAUGUGUGAGGUGUUUAACAGCUACAUUUUGGAUGGUAGAGAGUUGCCAAUUAAAUCAAUGCUGGAUUACAUCUUCUGGAAGACUUCAAAUAGGAUGGUUGGUAAGCAAAGGGAGGCAGAAAAGUGGACAGGCAGGCUUUGCCCCAAGAUACAGAAGAAGCUGGACAAGUAUGUUGAGUGGGCAAAAAAUUGCAGGGUGAGGGAGUAUGGAAGAGGUGUAUUCCAGGUUAUCUCAUUAAACAACACUUACAUUGUUGAUCUGAACAUGUUGAGCUGUAACUGCAAAAGGUGGGAAUUGUCUGGUAUACCUUGUCAUCAUGCAAUUGCUUGUUUUAGGCAUGAGAGAAUUGAGCCUGAGAGCAUGGUCCAUUCAUGCUACACUAUUGAGGAGUACAAGAAGUGGUAUGGCUUCAAUAUGAGGCCAAUGAGGGAUCCAGAGGAAUGGGAAAAGAUGCAUGGCAAUCCUGUUUUUCCACCCAUAUACACCAAAGUAAUGGGCAGGCCCAAGGAAAGUAGGAAAAAAGAUCCAGAGGAGAAGAAGGAUAAGAAAGGAGUUAGGAAGUUGACCAAGCAUGGUGUUAGCAUGCAUUGCUCUGUUUGUGGGGGCGCUGAUCAUAACAAGAAAGGGCAUUACAAACACGUGAAUCAACCACCUACCGAGGAAGCACCUGGGGAAUCAGAAGAAGAAUACAAUGAUCCAAGCAUAAUUGCUAACAUUAUGCCACACAGAGUUUACCCACAGUUUGAUCCAACACAAACUCCAGAUUCUAUGGUUUACAAGAUGCGGGAAAGGGAAAAAUUUACAUACCCUGCACCUAUGGACUUUGGUCCCCUGCCUGAGUCUAGCUUUAUUGCUAAUGCUAGGGACACAAUCCCUAUAGGCAGGGUGACAACAGCCAUGUCCAGGGGCAGGGUGAGAGGAGGAACAAGUGGAAGCAAUGCAACAAGAGGAGGAAGAAGUGCAAGAAAUGCAACAAGGGGUGGUAGAAGUGGUACCAAUGCAAGAAGGGGAGGAAGAAGUGCAAGCAAUGCAACAAGGGGCGGCAGAAUAGUAAGCAAUGCAACAAGGGGAGGAACUGCUCCAAGUGCAACUAGAGGUGGCAAUUACCCAAGUGGAAGUAAUCCUCCCAGAGGAGCAAGGGCUGCUGCUCCAUGA